UAAGCAUAUCAAUAAGCGGAGGAAAAGAAACCAACAGGGAUUGCCCUAGUAACGGCGAGUGAAGCGGCAAAAGCUCAGAUUUGAAAUCUAUUUAUUUAAUAAAUCGAAUUGUAAUCUGUAGAAGGUUGAAUGGCUGAAUAUUCUGAUUUAAUUUUUUUGGAAUAAGAAAUCAUAGAGGGUGAGAAUCCCGUGACUAUCAGAAAAUAAGCCAAUUAAUUCACCUUUCGACGAGUCGAGUUGUUUGGGAAUGCAGCUCUAAAUGGGUGGUAAAUUUCAUCUAAAGCUAAAUACCUGCCAGAGACCGAUAGCGAACAAGUAGAGUGAUCGAAAGAUGAAAAGCACUUUGAAAAGAGAGUUAAAAAGUACGUGAAAUUGUUGAAAGGGAAGCGCUUGCCAUUAGACUUAAUAAAUAAAUUCAAUCAAUUAUUUAAUUCGAUUUAUUUUUUAUUUAUUAGGCCAGCAUCAGUUUAAUAAAAUUAAUAAAAUUAAAUGAAAUGUAGUAAUAUCUUCGGAUAUUAUGUUAUAGUCAUUUAAAUAAUUAAUUUAUAUUAGACUGAGGUCUGCCCUUAGGGAAGGAUGCUGGCAUAAUGAUGGUAAGCGACCCGUCUUGAA
RNAcentral lists this ribosomal RNA (612 nucleotides) under Echinoplaca sp. RNAcentral describes it as "partial large subunit ribosomal RNA". It matches the Rfam family "Eukaryotic large subunit ribosomal RNA", at positions 35 to 658 of the family's 3401-position model. Lineage: Eukaryota; Fungi; Ascomycota; Lecanoromycetes; Ostropales; Graphidaceae. The record is from RNAcentral.